GGGCAUGUGGUGGAAUGGUAGACACGCUAGUCUUAGGAACUAGUGCUAACGCGUGGGAGUUCGAGUCUCUUCAUGCCCACCA
Molecule: transfer RNA, 82 nt
Filed under: Clostridium sp. CAG:813
Lineage: Bacteria; Bacillati; Bacillota; Clostridia; Eubacteriales; Clostridiaceae
Also listed under: 3 other names
Description: transfer RNA-Leu(TAG)
Rfam family: tRNA
About the family: Transfer RNA (tRNA) molecules are approximately 80 nucleotides in length. Their secondary structure includes four short double-helical elements and three loops (D, anti-codon, and T loops). Further hydrogen bonds mediate the characteristic L-shaped molecular structure. tRNAs have two regions of fundamental functional importance: the anti-codon, which is responsible for specific mRNA codon recognition, and the 3' end, to which the tRNAs corresponding amino acid is attached (by aminoacyl-tRNA synthetases). tRNAs cope with the degeneracy of the genetic code in two manners: having more than one tRNA (with a specific anti-codon) for a particular amino acid; and 'wobble' base-pairing, i.e. permitting non-standard base-pairing at the 3rd anti-codon position.
Source: RNAcentral